RNAcentral lists this ribosomal RNA (468 nucleotides) under uncultured bacterium. RNAcentral describes it as "partial 16S ribosomal RNA". It matches the Rfam family "Bacterial small subunit ribosomal RNA", at positions 28 to 507 of the family's 1533-position model. The record is from RNAcentral.
GGCGAACGCUGGCGGCGUGCUUAACACAUGCAAGUCGAACGGAAAGGCCCUGCUUUUGUGGGGUGCUCGAGUGGCGAACGGGUGAGUAACACGUGAGUAACCUGCCCUUGACUUUGGGAUAACUUCAGGAAACUGGGGCUAAUACCGGAUAGGAGCUCCUGCUGCAUGGUGGGGGUUGGAAAGUUUCGGCGGUUGGGGAUGGACUCGCGGCUUAUCAGCUUGUUGGUGGGGUAGUGGCUUACCAAGGCUUUGACGGGUAGCCGGCCUGAGAGGGUGACCGGCCACAUUGGGACUGAGAUACGGCCCAGACUCCUACGGGAGGCAGCAGUGGGGAAUAUUGCACAAUGGGCGGAAGCCUGAUGCAGCAACGCCGCGUGCGGGAUGACGGCCUUCGGGUUGUAAACCGUUUUCGCCUGUGACGAAGCGUGAGUGACGGUAAUGGGUAAAGAAGCACCGGCUAACUACGUG